GAAGGUCAACCUAGAUGGAUUUUUCUUUGUCUUCGUAAAAUCUUGACCCGUGAUACUCAAUGAAGCCCAAAACUCUGUAAGUUUAUAUUUAAAUUGAGAAACAAGUAUCUAGCUGGAGUAAGGAAAAAAGGCUUUUUCAUAUACGAAUAUCUACAUUUUCCAUUGCGUGUUGCCUUUCCUCCCAUUCAUGACCAUAAAUUUCCACUGGAACAAGGAUAAAGGAUACAUUUGAGACAAGAACUAAAGGAUUAGAUUUGGGAUAUUACCCUCACUUGGUUAGAUUCUUGGCUUUAUAACUGGAAUUUUAGCCGCCAGCAUUUCUCUUGGAUGUGGCCAAGAGAAGAAGGGAUGGUGCUACAGAGAGAGAGAGGGAUUUUUUUUUAAUUUUUUUUGCCAGCUUCCUUCAGCUGAACUAGUAGAAAAUUAUCAACUAUACGUGCACCUCUAGAUUACAUAAUUAAAAAAAUAAAAAAAAAGGUUGAGAAAUUAAAUUGAACUGAAUAAUGGUACAACGUAAAGGAAAGGGUAAUAACAAUAAUUCUUACCUUAACAAAAUCAUAUUUGGAGAAGCUUUGCGAAUGGAGACUGGAAAGCUGCUGCUUUUUAUGUUUAAAAUCUUUGUCUUUUCUAGGCCUUGUCACUUUUUAAGUGUUGCCGCUGGAACAUUUUAUCGAAGAUCUUGCGCGCACGUUUGAAAGCUGCAUUUCCCUUUCUAUAAAAAUAAAACCUCACAUCCCAUUAUUUGCCGAAAGCUGAAUUUCCCUCCAUCCAAACAUAAAAUCCAUUAUCAAAUACACUUCUUCAUGCAACUAUUUUUCUUGAACCAUCAAACAAGAUGAAGAUUCAACGGACCUUCAAGAGGAUAGUGUCAUGCUGGUAAUCUGGUAUUAAAUCAUUUUCACUGCUGUUUAAGCAAUUUUUUUAUUACAGAUUGAGGUUUUUGGCGCACAUACGAGAAGAAAUUAUGUUCAAAUUAAGAAGAAAAGGUAGUGAAAUCAAUUCAUUAAUCCCCAUAUUAAAAUUUUUAAUAUGAGAUUAAACAAUAACUUUUAAUCACAUGUUUUUAUGCUACAUUUUAGGCGAUUUGGACUCUCAAUCUUGAAAAGUUAAAAAGAGUGUCUGAAGUUCAAAAAAAUUGUUUUAGACUAAUUUGAUUAAUUUUAUGAAAACUACCGGAUGUGAUUGCUAUAGACUCUUGUGUACAACAAGACACACAACCCUGUGCUGACAUUGUUUAAAGGCUGUACAAAUAGCUUUGCCAACUAACUUAAAAGAGUGGAUGGUCAACAGGUCAAGUACUAUUUAUUUUUGCACCCUCCAUUUCACAUUACUAAUUGGUUCCCACUAUUUACAAACCGGUUUGAUUAAUGUUCACUAUAUAGCUUCUAACCCUGCUUCAAUUUUUUGCAAAGAUCAUGUUACAUGAACAUUAAGAGCUACAUCGAAAGCUAUGUAAUGGACACGCGACACAUCGAUAUUGGUUGAGGCACCUGCCGCAACUCAAGCCCACAUGCGCCUCACCAAUCACGAGGCGCCAGAUGUUGAUUAUGUAACCCCUUAUGUUCAUCUAACAUUUUCCUUUUUUCAAUGCUUCUAUUUUUUUUUUUGUCCUUGUUUGUCAAUCAUUCUCUCACAUUUUCUCACUUACUUGUUUUUAAUCAUAUAUUUUUCAUUAAACUAAUAUUACAUAUGUAUCAAAAACUUUUUAUUUUUCUAACCACAUAUUUUAGCAUCAACUGCUAUUUCAUACUUCAAUUUUUUAAAUUGAAGGCACAAACAGGGCCUUUCUUCUCUGCAGCAAAAAGGAAAAGGCAAAAAGACCCUUGAACUUUUGGGCUGCAAUCUCCCCUUUCCGUUCCCCAAAAACACCUCCACCACCGUCGUCUUCGUCGGCCGUGCCACCUAAACACCACCAUCGGCUCUAUUUCUCUUUCUUCUACAUUACAACAAACAAAAGCAUAAAAUCCCUUGAACUUCCGUCUGCAAUCUCCCAUUUCCGUUCCCAAAAACACUUCCACCGCCGACAUCUUCAUCUACUGUGCCACCUAAACACCACCAUCGGCCCACCACUCAUUCAUCUACGAUUUCUUCCACGACGUCGUUUUACAACCCCAGCACGGCAUCCGCUACUACUCCUCCAAGUGAAGCUAAAGGAAAUGUCACCGUUACUGUACGAUUUCGGCUCCUCAGUUAAUGUAUUUCUUCUUUUCUUUAAAUUCGAUGACUCCUAGAUGUUGGUAGUAAGUGGGUUCCGCAAAUACGUAGGAUAGUUUCGUUAAUGGUGUUUGGAAGACUGAUUUUUUUGGUGUAUUUGUUGACUUGUUUGUUUUUGGGAUUCUUAGGUGAUGAUAUGAGGCAUAUUUUAGUUUUCAGUAUAAUCAAUUUUAGUAUUUCUUUUUUUCCAUGAAUUCUCUUUAUUAGGACUUCAGAAUUUGUUGCUACAUAGCUCGAGAUACAAGGACUUCAGAAUUGGUUGCUAUCAAAGUGAUAUCAUUAGCUGAAGGGGACCUAAUUAUAAUCCUUUUUUUUUAAUUGCAUAUAAUAAUACUACAUAAGUUUAGUGGAUGGAAUAUGAAGUUUGAAAUCUCAUAAUUAUAGGAUGGUUUUGAAGAAAUUCGUGGUGAAAUUGACCUAAUUAUAAUCCUUUUUUUUUAAUUGCAUAUAAUAAUACUACAUAAGUUUAGUGGAUGGAAUAUGAAGUUUGAAAUCUCAUAAUUAUAGGAUGGUUAUGAAGAAAUUCGUGGUGAAAUUGAGAUGUUGCAGCAAUGUAGUCACCCUAACAUUGUUUGCUAUCUAGGUAGCUACCAAGGAGAAGAAUAGCAUUGGGUAUGAAGAAGAUCAUCGGCCUUCAAUUAUAUAAUAAUUUUUUAUCUUUUUGGGAUGGUACCGAGACCAUGAUGCUGUGUACCCCCUCCUUUUGGUUUCUAAAUCAGAUGACAACUGUUAGUUAUUAACAUGAAUUUAAAUAUCUGAGAAUUUUGUAUUUGUUGGCAUAUUGUAAUGGAUUAUUUUGGGGGCAGGAGUGUUACUGACUUGAUGAAAGGCCUUAGCCUCUAGAGGAGUGUAAAAUAGCAAAUAUCUGCAGAGAGGCAUUGAAGGUACCAUCAUUUUGGUUAGUUAUAUUUCAAAAUCGAACUUUUUUAUCUUUAGUACAGAUUUGUAUAAAUGUGUCCUUAAAAAUGCUGGGAUUGUUAUUUGGUAAUAGGGAAUGAUUUUGUCCAUGAGAUAAUGCUUGACCAUCCAAGGUUAAAAUAUAUCAUGACUUGGCACGA
RNAcentral lists this long non-coding RNA (3272 nucleotides) under Olea europaea subsp. europaea. The record is from RNAcentral. Lineage: Eukaryota; Viridiplantae; Streptophyta; Magnoliopsida; Lamiales; Oleaceae.